RNAcentral lists this ribosomal RNA (261 nucleotides) under uncultured bacterium. RNAcentral describes it as "partial 16S ribosomal RNA". It matches the Rfam family "Bacterial small subunit ribosomal RNA", at positions 524 to 776 of the family's 1533-position model. The record is from RNAcentral.
UACGGGGGGAGCAAGCGUUGUUCGGAUUUACUGGGCGUAAAGGAUGCGUAGGCGGACAUUUAAGUCAGAUGUGAAAUACCCGAGCUUAACUUGGGUGCUGCAUUUUGAAAACUGGGGUGUCUAGAGUGCAGGAGAGGUAAGUGGAAAUUCCUAGUGUAGCGGUGAAAAUGCGUAGAGAUUAGGAAGAACACCAGUGGCGAAGGCGACUUACUGGACUGUAACUGACGCUGAGGCAUGAAAAGCGUGGGGGAGCAAAACAGG